CCUACGGGUGGCUGCAGUGGGGAAUCUUGCGCAAUGGGCGGAAGCCUGACGCAGCGACGCCGCGUGCGGGACGAAGGCCUUCGGGUCGUAAACCGCUUUCAGCAGGGACGAGGCCCUCACGGUGACGGUACCUGCAGAAGAAGCCCCGGCUAAAUACGUGCCAGCAGCCGCGGUAAUACGUAGGGGGCGAGCGUUAUCCGGAUUCAUUGGGCGUAAAGCGCGCGUAGGCUGUGAGGUAAGUCAGCGGUGAAAUGCCCCCGCUCAACGGGGUGAAGUGCCAUUGAUACUGCCUUGCUGGAAUGCGGAGGCCGUGGGAGGAAGGUGUGGUGUAGCGGGGAAAUGCAUAGAUAUCACACAGAACACCGAUUGCGAAGGCAUCUCACGAAGCCGCGAUUGACGCUGAUGCACGAAAGCGUGGGUAUCAAACAGGAUUAGAUACCCUGUAGUC
This 448-nucleotide ribosomal RNA is filed under the name uncultured bacterium. Its description in RNAcentral is "partial 16S ribosomal RNA". It matches the Rfam family "Bacterial small subunit ribosomal RNA", at positions 338 to 795 of the family's 1533-position model. The record is from RNAcentral.